GCUAAAGUAGCAAAAUGGUAAUGCGAUAGAUUUAGGAUUUGUUAUUAAAGGUUCAAAUCCUUUCUUUAGUU
This 71-nucleotide transfer RNA is filed under the name Meridiastra gunnii. Its description in RNAcentral is "tRNA-Leu". It matches the Rfam family "tRNA". From Rfam's summary of the family: Transfer RNA (tRNA) molecules are approximately 80 nucleotides in length. Their secondary structure includes four short double-helical elements and three loops (D, anti-codon, and T loops). Lineage: Eukaryota; Metazoa; Echinodermata; Asteroidea; Valvatida; Asterinidae. The record is from RNAcentral.